Molecule: long non-coding RNA, 14877 nt
Filed under: Setaria italica (foxtail millet)
Lineage: Eukaryota; Viridiplantae; Streptophyta; Magnoliopsida; Poales; Poaceae
Description: long non-coding RNA (SITA_LNC006541)
Source: RNAcentral
UCUGGAGAAAGCACCUUCCGGUUCUAUGGCUGCUAAAGCAAACCUUAGCAGUAAACAUCACCUGACACGGUUACAUUUGGUAUUUACCAGCAGGCUAGGAGACAACGGGAAGGUCAAAGGCAACAUUAGCGAGGAGGAACACAGGAGAACAGAGGAGGUGCUGGAUAAUCUGUGUCCUCCAACUUGCAUGGAAGAACUUGAUAUCAAAGGCUACUUUGCACGUGGGCUACCGCAGUGGAUGAGAACCAUGUCAGCCUUUGGGAGCUUAAGGCGGUUGCAGCUAGAUGACGACGCAUGCUGCACGCAUCUACCUAAUGGAUUGGGGCAGCUCCCCUUUCUUGAUUAUUUUUGGUUCAAUCGUGCUCCGUCUGUCCGGUGCGUUGGGCACGAUUUCCUCUUCCCCUCCUUGGGUGGUCAAGCUGAUGGCAAAGUAACACGGAACAAUAACAGGCAGCCUCAUCAUACUUUGCGAGGUGCUGGUGUUGCUUUUCCCAAGUUGAGAAAAGUGGGUUUUGUAGGCAUGCUGGGAUGGACGAAUUGGGAGUGGGAGCAGCACGUCCCAGCGAUGCCUGCACUAGAGGAGCUUACAAUCAUAAACUGCAAACUGCAACACCUUCCUGCAGGGCUUGCACAACAUGCAUGCCGGUUGAGAGAGUUGCGCCUGACACAUGUCCAGCACUUGGUCUCUGUUGAGAACUUCCCUUCACUAGUCAAGCUUUGGUCAUAUGACAACCCAAGGCUGGAGAGGAUCAGCAACAACCCGAGCUUGCAAUGGAUUGACAUUAGAAAUUGCCCAGCACUAGAACAAUUGGACGGUUUGCCAUCCCUCCGAAGCCUCGAGUGGAGGGAUUUGAGUGCUGAAGCACUCCCAGAAUACUUGCGAGAGGCAAAGCUAAAGAAAUUGCGUGUAGAUUGCAGCCGAAGAUUGCUCAAACUGAUAGCACUACAAGAUGAAUCCUCCGAAUGGGGAAAGAUCCAGCAUGUCCAGCAACUAGAGGCGUAUGGACACAAGAUAGAAGGAGAAGCGGAGGAAGCCGACCAAUCGCACGAAGAUGAGGAUGCCGAGUGGUACAUCUACUGUACCAAGGAGCCGUAUUCAUUCGACGCGUACCUGGGCAAGUCCACGGGUGAGUUCAUCUUCGACCUACUCGGUGGUUUUAUAACUGUAUGUGUGUGUACACUCAUGUAAAAAUGGAUUUCUAACUGUAUAUUCUCCUGCGCACAGGAUGAAGAUGAAGCAGAAGUAGACGAGGUGAACGAAGAGCAGAGUCCAGGAAUAGAAUAUAGUAAGAAUGCAAGGAACAGAGGAAGCUCUCAGGCUGUUACGACAGGACGAGCAUUCGAAUCCAUCCACCAAAUACUAGGUAUGAAUUGCCCAAAUACUGAUGGUCUUGUAGUUGUACACGCCAAAUUGGCUGUGACUAUUCUAACUGGAAAGCAUUGUCGUGUUAACGCAGGAGAAAGAAACCCAAGAAGGAGAAGAACACAUCGCAAUUGGGUGGUGGCAAUGUGGCAUACUGUCCCUCAAAUUCGUAAGUUGUAUAUGUUUGUGUGCGAAAAAUAUAAUACAGCAGUAAGGCGCGAGCGUCUCUCUAACCAGUUGUUGUGACGCUCAGGAAUGGAGCGCCAGCACGGGCGGCCUUGGACUCGUUGGAGCGAAUACGCGUCGGGGACGAGCGAUGGGCUGAGAGGUGAAGCACUGAACGUGCGCGCGAAGGGCAGCAGGGAAGGGAUUUGCACAUUUAGCUCCCAGGAUUUGCACUUCUUGUUGGCGUAUUUGUAGGCAGGUCUGCACUCCAUCUCUUCUUUUCGGUUGGUCUCUGCUAGCUCGUCAGACUUUCUACAGUGUUUUUGAAUGUUCGAUAGCAAAUGAGUGUAGGAAUUUGCAGACGUGCUCUAUGAUGCCGAGAUAACAAUUGCAUCCCCCCCUCAUGGAUCCUCUGGAAAGCUGAAGCUACUCUGCAAGACUGCAACGAUUGCAGCAACACGGACGUGCCUACUAAAAACAUGGUGCAAUAAAACUGCGAAAUGCUAAACAAGGUCAAGCCGGCAGCCAGGUAAACAACAUUCCAGGCAGCAGGUAUAUUCUGAGCCGUGUGAGAAUUAUCUGUCUGCAAUAGCUUUUUCAUGGGUAGCUAUCACUCGCAUGUGGAUCGUGUCUCUGGCUGAUCCGUUCAGCGUGGACCGGAGCCAACAACGGGGAUAAGAAGUCCCAACUAGUAGUAGUUGGCUGCCAAUGCGGUGGCCAAAAUUUGACCAAGCCAAGGCUAGUAAACAGCAAAUUUGGUACUGUAGGCGCGCUAUUAUAUAGCGGAAGCAACCAAAGUUAUAUAAAUAUUAAUUAUGGAUAAUACAAAGUUAUAUAAAUAUUAAUUAUGGAUAAUAAAGAGGGAGAACUAAUCAGGACGCUGACGAUGCUUCUAGUUGAUCCAUCAUGCUCCAAAAUCUUUCUGCAAGUCAGGAGCUGCAGGAUAUAAGUGCAGAACUGCCUGCCGAUUUCAAAAAAUUAAAAAAAAUUAAAGAAAAAAGAACUGACUGCCGAUGGCCACUCAAGGUAGUAAAAACUAUAGGAAUGCUAUUAGUAGUUCCAGUGUUCCACUGGUAGCUGCCAUUUGCGCUUUGCUGAUCCGUUAGGUGCGGAGCCAGCGACGAAGAGAAGAGUUGAAGCGUCUCUCUGGGGGUUAGUUGAGGCGUCUCUCUUUUGCACCUCAUCAAUAGAGACAAAUAAUUUGAGUUGCAUAUUUUUUGACUACUGACUGGACACCCAAUCGAGGUCCACAAAAAUAUGGAGUAGCGUACUCUUCUGGCACUCCUAUGCGUUGAACUUCUUCGCCUCGCCAUCUCAUCUGCCCAUCCGUGAUUUUCCAUCGACCGGCCAGGCCUUCCUUCUGUAUAAAGCGUCUCCUAAAUCACCGCAGAGUGUACACCCCCACAUAUCUGAAACCUAGUCAUCUUCCUUUUGCUCUCUGCUUUGCUACCCUGUUCCCCGACCAUGGCAGAGCUGCUGGACGAGUUCGCGUCCAAGCUUGUGGGCAUCCUGGCAGGCAUGGUGAAGGAGGAGGUGGAGAUGCUCCUCGGCGUGCCGGGUGAGGUCACCAAGCUCGAGACCACGCUCCGUGACCUGAGCGACAUCUUGGGUGAUGCGGAGAGGAAGCGCAUCCGUGACAAGGCUACGGAGGGUUGGGUGAGGGAGCUCAAGGACGUCAUGUACGACGCCGAUGACGUCCUUGACCUCUGCCAGCUCAUGGAGGGCGGAGAAGAUCCUCCCGCACCAACAUCUGCUCCAAAAACCACCUCAAGGUGCUGGGACAUCCCCAAGAUGUUCUUUUGCUUCCGCAACCCUGUUGUGGCACAUGAGAUUGGAACGAAGAUCCAAGCGAUCAACCAGCGACUGGAAGACCUGGCAACGAGGAGCUCCCGUUUCGGAUUCAUCACCCAAGCCAUCCAUUCCUCAGCUGAUUCAAUCAACAAAGCUUCCAAUUCUUUGUCGACCGACGAGACUGGAUCGGUUUUUAUCCGGUCUGAUGUUGUCGGCGAGAAGGUUGAGGAUGACACGAAGAAAAUUGUAGAUCUACUCAUCAAGAAGAUGGAUGCUCCCGUAGGAUCAAGGGCCAAUAAUGAUGUGGUUGUUGCUGUUGCUAUCACAGGCACAGGUGGGAUAGGCAAAACCACUCUUGCUCAGAUGGUCUUCGGUGAUAGUAGGGUGGAGGAAAAAUUCGAGGAAAGGAUCUGGUUGAGCGUUAACCGUGAGUUCAAUGAGAUCAACGUCCUACAAAGUCUUAUAACUUCUUUUGGUGCCAAACAUGAAGGCUGUGCGGGAAACAAGGACCUACUUCAGCGUGCCCUGAAGGAUACGAUCCGGCAAAAGAAGAAGUUUUUGUUGGUGAUGGAUGAUGUGUGGAGGGAAAAUGUGUGGUAUAAGCUGCUUAGAGAGCCGCUCAAUCAUGGUGCUUCUGGCAGUCGAGUCUUGGUGACCACAAGAAAUGAUGGAGUUGCUCAUGGGAUGAAAGCUCAACAUCUCCAUCCAGUUCACAAGCUAACAACGGAAGAUGCUUGGAUUUUGCUAAAGAACCAGGUCAGUAAUAACUUUUAUUUAUUACAGUAAUUAUUUAUGCAGUAAUUUGAAUUUACUGUAACAACUUUUAUCUCUUCUUAAUUACUUUCUCUCCCUUGGAGGAAUGCACGAUAGCCCACUGCUCGUUAUUUCUCUUGUCGCUCUUGUCCGAUCUGAUUACGCAAAGGACCAUGUAAUUUCACUACGAGCCUUUUAUCAUACUUUCAUAAGCUCUUGGCUUAGCAAAACUUGUCUCAUGGUUAUAUUUAGUUGAACAUAUCCUAUUGACGUUGAGGGAAGUUUUGUUUAGUGCAAGGAAUCGGAUACCGUAGCCUAAGAGGGGGAGAGGGUGAAUUAGGUAACUUAAAACCUUAAUCUAUAGCUUCCGCUACUUUUGCAUCAAAUUUAAUUAGAUCAUGUAUCAAGAUGUGUAACUAUGGUUGAUCUAGUGUGAAAUCCUCAUCCUAAAAUUAGUUUUGCAACCUAGAGGCAAUCCUAACAAGAUACUACACUAAGAAUGUAAAGGCACACAAGUUGCAAGUAUGAAAUGUGGAAAUGAAAAGGAGGGGAUGAGGGGAAGCAAACUCUUGACACGAUGAUUUAUCCCGUUGUAUCGGUAGGCACUAAACCACCGCUAGUCGACAUUGUUGAAGCACUCACACAAGAGUAUUGCUUUCCGGUCACCAAGUCUCUCUCGGGAUACUCCUUGCUUUGCCACGAAGGCUUGGCCGCUAAGGCUCACGUCAAAUUCUCAGGUCACCUUGAUACCAUCUCCACAAAGGAGCUUCUCCACGAAGGAAGGGGGUCUCCACGUUCCCUGCAUAUUGUCGUCGACGCCGAUCCAUGCCAAACCGGAGGGUCGAAGACUUACCGGCGAACUACCAAGGCUCCAAGAUAGCACACCUUGUACAGCUGUGGUUCACUCCUAGAACCGAUCACAAGGCAGGCACACCUUGCACUCUCUCUUCUCUAGGCCUAUCCUAGCACUAAAUAUUCUUAUAAGCUUGUGCUAAGCCUUUGAUUAAUCACUUAUGCACUUUUGGUGGCUUGGAUGUGUUCUUGAUGAGUCUUGAUCUCCAAUGGACUUCUGCAUACUCCAGCUUCAUCCAGCAACUCCAAUGGGUGAGUGGAGGGGGUAUAAAUAGCCCAAGAACUCAAAGAGCCGUUGCUCCAACGGCUAGUUAAAGUAUACCAUCGGAUGUUCCGAUGGUAUCAUUCGGGGUAGCAUUCGAACAUCUGGUUCUACCAGCCCUUGCCUCCCCGCGCUUAGAUUCUACUCAAGUUCCUCACCGACGCAAUCCAUCGAUUGAUCAAGUGGUCCCUCUAGCACCCAUCGGAUCAUCCGGUGCAGUAGCUUCCUAUGCCAAAACGUCUCUGUUAGUUUCUAAAAUAAAUAUGCUUCAUCCGAUGCCCCCACGACACAUAGCGUCGGAUCAUCCGGUGCCUCCUUCUUUCUUCUCUUUGCUCCGGCGAUUCAUCCGAUGGAUACAAAACUUAGGCCAUCGAAUCAUCCGAUGGUCCUACUUUGACUUGGUCUCCACAUGGCGUACCAAAAGCUCCGAUGCUUGCACCGAUGCUUUUUCAACUGGCCAUCGAAACAUCCGAUGGUCUCAAAAACCUGCUUCACGCUUGGCACCGACUGAUUCGGUGGGCACCUUCUUCUUGUCACCAGAUGAAUCGGUGACUAUAAUGAUUCCUGUUUUUCUUUGAUUCUUUGCUUAUCUUUGGUUGUGGUUGCUUCCUCAGGACCUAUAAUACCUUCAAGAUAUGUUUUCAAUGCUUUGUUAGUCCUGAUGACCGUGUUGUCACAUUAAUCACCAAAAUCACAAACAAAUAGCCUAUUCGGGGCCAUGUUUGCUACAUUUAGGCUAUUCCCAAUGGGGAUUUCAUAAGAGUUUCAUUUAAUGAUGCGACACACCAACAAUUUUGAUGAUAUGGCAUGCUAAUAAUCAUGAAGAGAGAGAGGGAAUGAGUUUAAUCCUGAUUAAACUAUGUAUACAUUGUUUCCAAGACUAUGAAACCUGAUGAAACUAGCAUUGGGGAUUAGAGAGUUUCAUUUCAUCUCAUAACAUCCAAUCACAUACCUCGCAAUUAAACGUUAUGUCCAGCCUAUGAAAUCGCGAAAUGAAACUCUCCAUUGGGAGAUCUUGUGUCAUACAUCCACUCAAACAUCUUUCGAUGACGUACCACUCUUGAAAAUUGUAAUUGAAAUUUCCCACUGGGAAUAGCCAUGGUUGCUCUAGAGUCUAGACUCUAUUUAAGUCACUUCAACUUUUUCCCUACACACAACCCCUGCAACAGUUAUGAUACAACAUAAAAUCCAUUGGGAGCUUUUCGAUUCUAGCACCAUUUCCUCUCUCAAACUUGCUGCAUUUUUUUUCCAAUACUAGGUAGUUUCGAAUGAGAGUGAUGAAGCCGAUGUCGAUGAAUUGAAGAGUAUCGGGAUGGAAAUUGUUGAAAGAUGUGACUGCUUGCCGUUAGCAGUUAAGGUCCUUGGAGGACUCUUGCGUCACAAAAGGAGAACAAGGGAUGCCUGGACGGAUGUUAGUAGCCACGAUAUUUGGUCGACAAUAGGAAGCGAUGAAGAUAUUAAUAAAGCGGUCUAUUUGAGUUAUGAAGAUUUGCCUUCACACUUGAAGCAAUGUUUUGUGUAUUGUUCGCUAAUCCCUAAAGAUCACUUGAUAUCGAGUGGAGUAAUAGUCAAGCUUUGGAUUGCAGCAGGUCAUGUACACAACAAGAUGAGCUGUAAGGUACCAGAAAAGUUGGGGAAAGAAUACUACAACGAAUUGGUUUCAAGAAAUCUUCUAGAACCAGACAAAAGUUACUAUAGUACAGUAGUAUGCAGGAUGCACGAUGUUGUCCGUUCCUUCGCUCAGUAUAUAAUUAAAGAUGAAGGGAUACUUAUUAGUGAUGGGCAGGAUGUUAAUAGAACUCUUAGCACUGCAAAGCUUCGGCACCUAUCUAUCUCAAACACGACAGUAGGGCAUGACACUUUGCAAAAACAAGCCUUGCUUAGAACAUUAAUUUUAUUCGGAAGCAGUACCACUGUUGAGCUAAAGGAUCUGUUGAACAACCUUUCUUGCCUGAGAGUACUACAUCUAGUAAAGGUAGAUUUAGUCGAGCUGCCAGACUCCAUAUGCCACCUCAAACAUUUAAGAUACUUGUGUAUUUGUAACGCAAGCAUAUCCAGAAUUCCUCAAGGCAUAGGAGAUCUAAAAUUUCUACAAUCUAUUGACCUUGAUGGGUGUGCAAAUAUUCAUCAACUUCCUAACAGCAUCCUAAAGCUGCGGAAGCUAAGGUCACUCAACUUGAGCGACACGGCAAUCACUUCAAUUCCUCGUGGCUUGGGAAAACUAGAAGAUUUGGUCACCAUAAGGGGGUUUCCAACACAUUAUUCAGAUGAGAGCACAGGUGGCUGGUGCAGCAUAGAAGAACUCAGACCUCUGUCGAAGCUCCAAAGCCUUGAAAUAAUAUGUCUGGAGAAGGCACCUUCCGGUUCUAUGGCUGCUAAAGCAAACCUUAGCAGUAAACAUCACCUGACAUGGCUAGAUUUGGUAUUUACCAGCAGGCUAGGAGACAACGGGGUGGUCGAAGGCAACAUUAGCGAGGAGGAACACAGGAGAACAGAGGAGGUGCUGGAUAAUCUGUGUCCUCCAACUUGCAUGGAAGAACUUGAUAUAAAAGGCUACUUUGCACGUGGGCUACCGCAGUGGAUGAGAACCAUGUCAGCCUUUGGGAGCUUAAGGCGGUUGGUGCUACAUGACUACGCAUGCUGCCCGCAUCUACCUAAUGGAUUGGGGCAGCUCCCCUUUCUUGAUUAUUUUUGGGUCAAACGUGCUCCGUCUGUCCGGUGCGUUGGGCACGAUUUCCUCUUCCCCUCCUUGGGUGGUCAAGCUGAUGGCAAAGUAACACGGAACAAUAACAGGCAGCCUCAUCAUACUUCGCGUGGUGCUGGUGUUGCUUUUCCCAAGCUGUCAGAAGUGGGUUUUGUAGGCAUGCUGGGAUGGACGAAUUGGGAGUGGGAGCAGCACGUCCCAGCGAUGCCUACACUAGAGGAGCUUACAAUCAGAAACUGCAAACUGCAACACCUUCCUGCAGGGCUUGCAUACCAUGCAUGCCGGUUGAGAGAGUUGGACCUGAGAAAUAUCCAGCUCUUGGUCUGUGUGGAGAACUUCCCUUCACUAGUCAAGCUUUGGUCAUAUGACAACCCAAGGCUGGAGAGGAUCAGCAACAACCCAAGCUUGCAAUGGAUUGACAUUAGCAAUUGCCGAGCACUAGAGGAAUUGGACGGUUUGCCAUCCCUCCUAAGCCUUGAGUGGUGGAAUUUGAGUGCUGAAGCACUCCCAGAAUACUUGCGAGAGGCAAAGCUAAAGAAAUUGCGUGUAGAUUGCAGCCGAAGAUUGCUCAAACUGAUAGCACUACAAGAUGAAUCCUCCGAAUGGGGAAAGAUCCAGCAUGUCCAGCAACUAAAGGUGUAUGGAUGCAAGAUAGAAGGAGAAGCGGAGGAAGCCGACCAAUCGCACGAAGAUGAGGAUGCCGAGUGGUACAUCUACUGUACCAAGGAGCCGUAUUCAUUCGACGCAUACCUGGGCAAGUCCACGGGUGAGUUCAUCUUCGACCUACUCGGUGGUUUUAUAACUGUAUGUGUGUACACUCAUGUAAAAAUGGAUUUCUAACUGUAUAUUCACCUGCGCACAGGAUGAAGAUGAAGCAGAAGUAGACGAGGUGAACGAAGAGCAGAGUCCAGGAAUAGAACAUAGUAAGAAUGCAAGGAACAGAGGAAGCUCUCAGGCUGUUACGACAGGAGGAGCAUUCGAAUCCAUCCACCAAAUACUAGGUAUGAAUUGCCCAAAUACUAAUGGUCUUGUAGUUGUACACGCCAAAUUGGCUGUGACUAUUCUAACUGGAAAGCAUUGUCGUGUUAACGCAGGAGAAGAACACAUCGCAAUUGGCAUACUGUCCCUCAAAUUCGUAAGUUGUAUAUGUUUGUGUGCGAAAAAUAUAAUACAUCAGUAAGGCGCGAGCGUCUCUCUAACCAGUUGUUGUGACGCUCAGGAAGGGAGCGCCAGCACGGGCGGCCUUGGACUCGUUGGAGCGAAUACGCGUCGGGGACGAGCGAUGGGCUGAGAGCUGAAGCACUGAACGUGCGCGCGAAGGGCAGCAGGGAAGGGAUUUGCACAUUUAGCUCCCAGGAUUUGCACUUCUUGUUGGCGUAUUUGUAGGCAGGUCUGCACUCCAUCUCUUCUUUUUGGUUGGUCUGUGCUAGCUCGUCAGACUUUCUACAGUGUUUUUGAAUGUUCGAUAACAAAUGAGUGUAGGAAUUUGCAGACGUGCUCUAUGAUGCCGAGAUAACAAUUGCAUCCCCCCCUCAUGGAUCCUCUGGAAAGCUGAAGCUACUCUGCAAGACUGCAACGAUUGCAGCAACACGGACGUGCCUACUAAAAACAUGGUGCAAUAAAACUGCGAAAUGCUAAACAAGGUCAAGCCGGCAGCCAGGUGAGCAACAUUCCAGGCAGCAGGCAUAUUCUGAGCCGUUCAGCGUGGACCGGAGCCAACAACGGGGAUAAGAAGUCCCAACUAGUAGUAGUUGGCAGCCAAUGCGGUGGCCAAAAUUUGACCAAGCCAAGGCUAGUAAACAGCAAAUUUUGUAGCAAACCAAAAUUAAAAUGCGACGUAACCAAAGCGCUGGCGUAACCAUGUCGACAUUAGACCUGAUUUGUUAAUACGUGCUGAGAUGGCGAGGCAUAUCUUGUAACCAGCGACGAAGAGAAGAGUUCAAGCUGCAUUGGAUACAUGUGCUCCUGCCUCCUGGGGGUUAGUUGAGGCGUCUCUCUUUUGCACCUCAUCAAUAGAGACAAAUAAUUUGAGUUGCAUAUUUUUUGACUACUGACUGGACACCCAAUCGAGGUCCACAAAAAUAUGGAGUAGCGUACUCUUCUGGCCCUCCUAUGCGUUGAACUUCUUCGCCUCACCAUCUCAUCUGCCCAUCCGUGAUUUUCCAUCGACCGGCCAGGCCUUCCUUCUGUAUAAAGCGUCUCCUAAAUCACCGCAGAGUGUACACCCACACAUAUCUGAAAUCUAGUCAUCUUCCUUAGUCAUCUUCCUUUUGCUCUCUGCUUUGCUACCCUGUUCCCCGACCAUGGCAGAGCUGCUGGACGAGUUCGCGUCCAAGCUUGUGGGCAUCCUGGCAGGCAUGGUGAAGGAGGAGGUGGAGAUGCUCCUCGGCGUGCCGGGUGAGGUCACCAAGCUCGAGACCACGCUCCGCGACCUGAGCCACAUCUUGGGUGAUGCGGAGAGGAAGCGCAUCCGUGACAAGGCUACGGAGGGUUGGGUGAGGGAGCUCAAGGACGUCAUGUACGACGCCGAUGACGUCCUUGACCUCUGCCAGCUCAUGGAAGGCGGAGAAGAUCCUCCCGCACCAACAUCUGCUCCGAAAACCACCUCAAGGUGCUGGGACAUCCCCAAGAUGUUUUUUUGCUUCCGCAACCCUGUUGCGGCACAUGAGAUUGGAACGAAGAUCCAAGCGAUCAACCAGCGACUGGAAGACCUGGCAAAGAGGAGCUCCCGUUUCGGAUUCAUCACCCAAGCCAUCCAUUCCUCAGCUGAUUCAAUCAACGAAGCUUGGAAUUCUUUGUCCGACGAGACUGGAUCGGUUUUUAUCCGGUCUGAUGUUGUCGGCGAGAAGAUUGAGGAUGACACGAAGAAAAUUGUUGAUCUACUCAUCAAGAAGGUGGAUGCUCCUGUAGGAUCAAGGGCCAAUAGUGAUGUGGUUGUUGCUGUUGCUAUCACAGGCACAGGUGGGAUAGGCAAAACCACUCUUGCUAAGAUGGUCUUCGGUGAUAGUAGGGUGGAGGAAAACUUCAAGGAAAGGAUCUGGUUGAGCGUUAACCGUGAGUUCAAUGAGAUCAAUGUCCUACAAAGUCUUAUAGCUUCUUUUGGUGCCAAACAUGAAGGCUGUGCGGGAAACAAGGACCUACUUCAGCGUGCCCUGAAGGAUACAAUCCGGCAAAAGAAGAAGUUUUUGUUGGUGAUGGAUGAUGUGUGGAGCGAAAAUGUGUGGUAUAAGCUGCUUAGAGAGCCGCUCAAUCAUGGUGCUUCUGGCAGUCGAGUCUUGGUGACCACAAGAAAUGAUGGAGUUGCUCAUGGGAUGAAAGCUCAACAUCUCCAUCGAGUUGACAAGCUAACAACGGAAGAUGCUUGGAUUUUGCUAAAGAACCAGGUCAGUAAUAACUUUUAUUUAUUACAGUAAUUAUUUAUGCAGUAAUUUGAAUUUACAGUAACAACUUUUAUCUCUUCUUAAUUACUUUCUCUCCCUUGGAGUAAUGCACGAUAGCCCAUUGCUCAAUAUUUCUCUUGUCGCUCUUUUCCGAUCUGAUUACGCAAAGGACCAUGUAAUUUCACUACGAGCCUUUUAUCAUACUUUCAAAGCUCUUCGCUUAGCAAAACAUGUCUCAUGGUUAUAUUUAGUUGAACAUAUCCUAUUGACGUUGAGGGAUGUUUUGUUUAGGGCAACGAAUCGGGUAUCGUAGCCUAAGAGGGGGAGGGGGUGAUUUAGGCAACUUAAAAUCUUAACCUAUGGCUUCUGCUACUUUUGCAUCAAACAUAAACAAGAUCAUGCUGUCAAGAUGUGCAAUUAUGGUUGAUCUAGUGUGAACUCUUCAUCCUAAAAUAAGUUUUGCAACCUAGAGGCAUCCUAGCAAGAUACUACACUAAGAAAGUAAAGGCACACAAGUUGUAAGUAUGAAAUGCGGAAAUGUAAAGGAGGGGAUGAGGGGAAGCAAACUCUUGACACAAGAGUAUUGCUUUCCGGUCACCAAGUCUCUCCCUGGACACUCCUUGAUUUGCCACAAAGGCUCGGCUACUAAGGCUCACGCCAAAUUCACAGGCUACCUUGAUACCAUCUCCACAAAGGAGCUUCUCCACGAAAGAAGGGGGUCUCCACGUUCCCUGCACAUUGUCGUCGACGCCGCUCCACACCAAGCCGGAGGGUCAAAGACUUACCGGCGAACCACCAAGGCUCCAAGGUUUCAGCACACCUUGUACAGCUGUGGUUCACUCCUAGAAUCGAUCACAAGGCAAGCACACCUUGCAUUCUCUCUUCUCUAGGCCUAUCCUAGCACUAAACAUUCUUCUAAGCUUGCGCUAAACCUUUGAUUAAUCACUUAUGCACUUUUGGUGGUUUGGAUGUGUUCUUGACGAGUCUUGAUCUCCAAUGGAAUUCUGCACACUCCAGCUUCAUCCAACAACUCCAAAUGGGUGAGUGGCGGGGGGUAUAAAUAGCCCAAGAACUCAAAGAGCCGUUGCUCCAACGGCUAGUUAAAGUAUACCAUCGGAUGUUCCGAUGGUAUCAUUUGGGGUAGCAUCGGAACAUCCGGUUCUACCAGCCAUUGCCUCCCCGCGCUCAGAUUCUGCUCAAGUUCCUCACUGACGUAAUCCAUCGAUUGAUCCAGUGGUCCCUCUAGCACCCAUCGGAUCAUCCGGUGCAGUAGCUUCCUAUGCCAAAACGUCUUUGUUAGUUUCUAAAAUAAAUAUGCUUCGUCCGAUGCCCCUGCGACACAUAGCGUCGGAUCAUCCAGUGCCUCCUUCUUUCUUCUCUUUGCUCCGGCGAUUCAUCCGAUGGGUACAAAACUUAGGCCAUCGGAUCAUCUGAUGGUCCUGCUUUGACUUGGUCUCCACAUGGCGAACCAAAAGCUCUGAUGCUUGCACCGACACUUUUUCAACUGGCCAUCAAAGCAUCCGAUGGUCUCAAAAAUCUUCUUCACGCUUGUCACCAACUGAUUCGGUGGGCACCUUCUUCUUGUCACCGGAUGAAUCAGUGGCUAUAACAAUUCUUGUUUUUCUUUGAUUUCUUUGAUUCUUUGCUUGUCUUUGGUUGUGGUUGCUUCCUUAGGACCUAUAAUACCUUCAAGAUAUGUUCUCAAUGCUUUGUUAGUCCUAAUGACCAUGUUGUCACAUUAAUCACCGAAAUCACAAACAAAUGGCCUAUUCGGAGCCAUGUUUGCUACAUUUAGGCUAUCCCCAAUGAGGAUUUCAUAAGAGUUUCUUUUAAUGAUGUGACACAUCAACAAUUUUGAUGAUAUGACAUGCUAAUAAUCAUGAAGAGAGAGAGGGAAGGAGUUUCAUCCUGAUUAAACUGUGUAUACAUUGUUUCCAAGACUAUGAAACCUGAUGAAACUAGCAUUAGGGAUUAGAUAGUUUUAUUUCAUCUCAUAACAUCCAAUCACAUACCUCGCAAUUAAACGUUAUGUCCAGCCUAUAAAAUCGUGAAAUGAAACUCUCCAUUGGGAGAUCUUGUGUCAUACAUCCACUCAAACAUCUUUUGAUGACAUACCACUCCUGAAAACCGUAAUAUGAAAUUCCCCACUGGGAAUAGCUAUGGUUGCUCUAGAGUCUAGACUCUAUUGAAGUCACUUCAACUUUUUCCCAACACACAACCCCUGCACAAGUUAUGAUACAACAUAAAAUCCAUUGGGAGCUUUUCGAUUCUAACACCAUUUCCUCUCUCAAACUUGCUGCAUUUUUUCCAAUACUAGGUAGUUUUGAAUGAGAGUGAUGAUGUCGAUGAAUUGAAGAGUAUCGGGAUGGAAAUUGUUAAAAGAUGUGACUGCUUGCCAUUAGCAGUUAAGGUCCUUGGAGGACUCUUGCGCCGCAAAAGUAGAACAAGAGAUGCCUGGACGGAUGUUAGUAGCCACGGCACUUGGUCGACAAUAGGAAUCCAUGAAGAUAUUAAUAAAGCGGUCUAUUUGAGUUAUGAAGACUUGCCUUCACACUUGAAGCAAUGUUUUGUGUAUUGUUCGCUAAUCCCUCAAGAUUACUUGAUUUCAAGUCGAGUAAUAGUCCAGAUUUGGAUUGCAGCAGGUCAUGUACACAACAAGAUGAGCUGUAAGGCACCAGAAACGUUGGGGGAAGAAUACUACAAAGAAUUGGUUUCAAGAAAUCUUCUAGAACCAGAGAAAGGUUACUAUAGAAUAUCAGCAUGGAACAUGCACGACGUUGUCCGUUCCUUCGCUCAGUAUAUAAUUAAAGAUGAAGGGAUACUUAUUAGUGAUGGGCAGGAUGUCAAUAGAACUCUUAGCACUGCAAAGCUUCGGCACCUAUCUAUCUCAAACAAGGCAGUAAGGCAUGACACUUUGCAAACACAAGCCUUGCUUAGAACAUUAAUGUUAUUCGAAGGCAGCACCACUGUUGAGCUAAAGGAUAUGUUGAACAACCUUUCUUGCCUAAGAGUACUACAUCUGAUAGAUGUAGAUCUAGUUGAGCUGCCAGACUCCAUAUGCCACCUCAAACAUUUAAGAUCCUUGUAUCUUUCUGGCACAAGCAUAUCCACAAUUCCUCAAGGCAUAGGAGAUCUAAAAUUUCUACAAUCUAUUGACCUUGAUGGGUGUGCAAAUAUUCAUCAACUUCCUAACAGCAUCCUAAAGCUGCGGAAGCUAAGGUCACUCACCUUGAGCGACACGGCAAUCACUUCAGUUCCUCGUGGCUUGGGAAAACUAGAAGAUUUGGUCGACAUAAGGGGGUUUCCAACACAUUAUUCAAAUGAGAGCACAGGUGGCUGGUGCAGCUUAGAAGAACUCAGACCUCUAUCGAAGCUCCAAAGCCUUGAAAUAAUAUGUCUGGAGAAGGCACCUUCCGGUUCUAUGGCUGCUAAAGCAAACCUUAGCAGUAAACAUCACCUGACACGGUUACAUUUGGUAUUUACCAGCAGGCUAGGAGACAACGGGGAGGUCGAAGGCAACAUUAGCGAGGAGGAACACAGGAGAACAGAGGAGGUGCUGGAUAAUCUGUGUCCUCCAACUUGCAUGGAACGACUUGAAAUCAAAGGC